This 589-nucleotide ribosomal RNA is filed under the name Leuconostoc pseudomesenteroides. RNAcentral's name for it is "bacterial SSU rRNA". It matches the Rfam family "Bacterial small subunit ribosomal RNA", at positions 91 to 668 of the family's 1533-position model. Lineage: Bacteria; Bacillati; Bacillota; Bacilli; Lactobacillales; Lactobacillaceae. The record is from RNAcentral.
GUGAGUGGCGAACGGGUGAGUAACACGUGGACAACCUGCCUCAAGGCUGGGGAUAACAUUUGGAAACAGAUGCUAAUACCGAAUGAAACUUAGUGUCGCAUGAUACGAAGUUAAAAGGCGCUUUGGCGUCACCUAGAGAUGGAUCCGCGGUGCAUUAGUUAGUUGGUGGGGUAAAGGCCUACCAAGACAAUGAUGCAUAGCCGAGUUGAGAGACUGAUCGGCCACAUUGGGACUGAGACACGGCCCAAACUCCUACGGGAGGCUGCAGUAGGGAAUCUUCCACAAUGGGCGAAAGCCUGAUGGAGCAACGCCGCGUGUGUGAUGAAGGCUUUCGGGUCGUAAAGCACUGUUGUAUGGGAAGAACAGCUAGAAUAGGGAAUGAUUUUAGUUUGACGGUACCAUACCAGAAAGGGACGGCUAAAUACGUGCCAGCAGCCGCGGUAAUACGUAUGUCCCGAGCGUUAUCCGGAUUUAUUGGGCGUAAAGCGAGCGCAGACGGUUGAUUAAGUCUGAUGUGAAAGCCCGGAGCUCAACUCCGGAAUGGCAUUGGAAACUGGUUAACUUGAGUGCAGUAGAGGUAAGUGGAACU